This 1389-nucleotide ribosomal RNA is filed under the name Triticum aestivum (bread wheat). RNAcentral's name for it is "partial small subunit ribosomal RNA". The record is from RNAcentral. Lineage: Eukaryota; Viridiplantae; Streptophyta; Magnoliopsida; Poales; Poaceae.
AUGGGGCUUGUGGAUCUCAUGCACCACAAGUCAAUGGAGCGGCAGCCGGACUGCCGGCGACGGCGAGCUCAAGACACUAAUGGAUUGGUUGCUUCACAGGCCAAAAUAAAUGUCUUGCCCUGUCAGCAAGAUGAUGAUUCUCAGGGUGGUGAGCGUGACAUACAGAUGCCAAACCUUCCAGAGGACAUUUGGCGUCACAUACAUUCCCUGAUGCCAAUGCGAGAUGCUGCCCAAGCUGCCUGUGUCUCUCAUGCUUUUCUACGUUCCUGGAGGUGCCAUCCCAACCUCACCUUUUCUGGCACAGCAUUGGGUAUGAAUAAAAAGACUUGUGUAAAUGAUGAAAUUGCCAGAGACUUUCGUAGCAAGGUUGACCAGAUCCUGAAAAAACACUCAGGCAUUGGUGUGAAGAAACUUAAACUUACGAUUGACAUGAUUCAAUAUUACACUGCCAAGGAUUCUUGUUAUGUCAACAGUUGGCUUCUGAUUGCUGUCACACCAGGAAUUGAGGAACUUACACUUCAACUGUCUAUGGGGGAAUACAAUUUUCCAUGCUCACUUUUGUCUAAUGGGAGUGGAGAGUCAAUCCGUUAUCUCCAUCUUUGUGGUUGCUCCUUUCGACCCACAGCUGAACUUCCUUGGUUAAAAAGCUUGACAAAAGUGCGGCUUCAUGCUGUCCGUUUUACUGGGGAUGAGUUAGGGUGCCUUCUGUGCAAUUCUUCUGCUUUGGAGCGGUUGGUUCUCAUGCAUUGUGAUGAGAUGGUUUGCUUGAAGAUCCCUUGCAUGCUGCGGCGGCUCAGGUACCUACAGGUUUUUGGCUGUGAAGAUCUGCGAGUGAUAGACAACAAAGCUCCAAAUAUAUCCAGCUUCUUGUACAGCGGAGAACGCAUUCAACUGUCACUUGGAGACACAUUGAAAAUGGAGUACAUACACUUGUUGUUCAGACGUGCACUUCAUUAUGCUCGUGUUGAACUUCCAUCCAGCAUGCCAAACCUCAAAAUUGCUAAUAUAAAUUCGAGAAGCGAGAUGGCCAAUACACCAGUGCCGCGCAGCAAGUUUCUCCACCUCAAGAAGCUAAUUAUUAGUCUUAACACAAUAACCUUUUCCUAUGAUUAUUUUUCUCUAGUUUCCUUGCUUGGCGCUUGCCCCUCCUUGGAGACACUGGUCUUGGAUGUAUCCAAGGAGAAAAUGGAGCAUGUCUCCAUAUUCACAGAUCCCUCAGAUCUGAGGAAAGGACAGCAGCAUCACAAGAUGAAGAGAGUGAAGAUCCUAGGAUUCACAUCUGCAAAGAGUCUUGUUGAGCUUACUUGCCAUUUUCUUGAGAGCAUAACAUCACUUGAAUACCUUACGCUGGAGUCCUAUCAGAGUCGUUCAAGGUGUUGUGCCUGCUAA